CUGACCACAGGCUUUGGUUUCAGGACAAUGCAGACUGGGCAGCAGAUCAAAUAAAGCCAUCACCAGCGCAUAGGACAGUCUCAAGGGGGUUAACUGUCCCUGUCCUCUACAAUUGUUGCUGGGGAGCAAUUUGCCCUUGAAUCUUCCAUACUGUCCCUAAAUUGACAAUUUCAUUUCCUUCCAAUCCCGCCCCCUGCCCUGAAGAUCUGCUGAGGCUGCGAGUUCCAUGUGAGAAGGCAGGAGGAUAAUAGCCAGCUCCUGUGUAAGGAAGUCAAGAUUUUCUCAAGGGAAAAAUCACCCUAGAAACCAUCAACUCAUGACAAACGUGAUCUCCAACGUUCAUUGUGGAAAAUAGCCUCAAGGAUGAGAUGAUGAGGAUUUUGAAGAUGGGUCUUAAGAGAAAACACUGAGGUCCCUCGAAGAUGAAGAAAUCCUCAUGAAGAUGAAUCCAAAGGUGGAUUCAAUUUCAGCUGUCUUUGGACUGAAGACUGCAACAUCAACACUUCCCAGGGUCUCCAGCCUGCCCGCCUCUCCCGCAAAUUUCAGAUUUGCAAGUAUCCACAGUCAUGAGCAAUUCCUUAAAUGAAGUGCAAAAAAUGAACAAGGAGGCCCAAUGAUGCAUCUGCUUAACUUUUCAGUUGUCAAUGCAAAUUAAGCACAAAGAGGACAGAGUUGAUGACAUAUCAGGAACAUUUUUUACUUCCGGAGCAGGUCUGAGUCCCAGCGGAAGACUGAGGCCGACUGAGCCAGAGGCACCACUUCAAUAGGUCACUGGUCUCUGCAGGGAAAGGAAAAGGUGUAAGAGUUCUCCCUGCAUAGAUGCUAUUUGUGACUUGGAUGUUUUCUUUCUAAUACAAAUGCAUCAAAGUGUUCACAGGAAUCUAGCUAUAUGCAAGAAGUCUGGAUUAUCUGCCUGAGAGAACUGGCCAGUAUCUCACCCAUGAGCACCAGAACCCAUUUCUAGAUUACUAAGAAAGGAGCACAAGAACACUGUGUAUAAGGCUCUGUGUUCCUAGAACUUUCUAAAUUUUACUUAAUGCAGGUUAACUUCAUCAACCCUGGUGAAAAUGCCACCUCCUCAUGAGGAAGCCUUCCC
Long non-coding RNA from Homo sapiens (human), 1096 nucleotides. Ensembl annotates it as gastric cancer associated transcript 3. Its record names the gene GACAT3. NCBI's taxonomy places the organism in Eukaryota, Metazoa, Chordata, Mammalia, Primates, Hominidae. The record is from Ensembl.